UAUAUAAACCUGGAGUUUCAGAACCUUGCCUUCACUUGUGGGAUCCAGAGGAAGACUGCAGCUCACCGCUCUCAACCAGACUGCAGCUCACUGCUCUCAACCAGACUGCAGCUGACCGCUCUCAACCAGACUGAGACCACCACCCUCAGCUGGACUGCAAUCACCACUAUUGACCAGACUGCAACAGCUCUCCCACCAGCAGGUUUUUCCCCUCACUUUGGACUCGGUGGGGGGAGCCCAAGGAACACCACUUUGUUCAUGCCCCAGGGUGCUGGGUUAUACAUUUGGGUUUUGUGGGUUAAAACCAAUUGCUUGUCUGUAUAAUUGUACUUAUUGCAUUAUUUUAAUAAAUUGUUAUUCUGAAUUAUAAUCUCUCUUUUGAGUUGAGUUCAUUUCCCCUGCUGGUUAACUUUUAAACCAGCACAAUAUACUUUAGAGAAUGAGCUUUCUUAUGAAAAUCCAGUAAAAAGAAUAGCAUAAUUUGUAAACUUUAACGUAUCAGCCAAAGAAAAGACAUUUAUAUUGUCCCACUGCUUUAUCAUCACAUACUAUCUUCCAUGGAUUUGGCACCAGCUAGUUUUUUAUAUUCUGUUAUGUAUAAUUGUAUUCCUUUCUCCUCUGAAUCAAUGACAUGUUGGAAUGUUUACUGAGUGGCUAAAAUAUGUACAGUUUUUUUAAAGUUUCAUUUAGAAACACAUAACAUAGCUGUAAACAAAACCUGUCCAUAUGUAGCUAGCUAAAUGCAUUAAUAUCGAAAUAUUUAAUCUCUAAGCCAGAGAAUAAAGCUUCGGGAAGUUAAGCAGUGUGGACUGGGAGACUACCUCCCAUGAAAAUCUUACCCAAACUGAGUGGGGGGAAAAAAAAAGCUAAAUUAAAGCUGAUUACCAAACAGCUCAGUUGUAGACAUUUAACUGCAAGUAUUUUGGUUAAUACUGCUUACUAAAAGCAGGCAUAGGCUACAAGUAUUUUAAGUUAUUUUCAGUUUCAAUUUGGUUCUUCUGUUACAAGAUAUUUUCCACCAUUCUAAUUGAUAUAAACUAAAUUAAAUGGUUAUGUUUUUCAGCAUAUGAGAUGUAAUAUUACCUUUGCUGUGAAUUUGGACUAUCAGAGUGAAAUCACUGAUAAUAAGCAAUGCUUAUUUCUCUGCAGGCCAAACAAAUACAAAAUUUCCAUGUUUCUAUUUGAAAGAUAUGUUAAGAACUAUACUGUAAUCAGUGGCACAUAGGGACGUCUGUGACAAUGAAGACUUGAAAAUGCAUCAAGUCAUCUCCAAACUUCAUGCAACAAAACCUUUGUAUAAAGGUUAGUUUUAUUGAGGUCUCAAUGAAAGUAAUCCAGGGACAAAAAGUGUGACACAGAUCAUAGCACAUUAUACUGACUUCAGUCCUUACAACAGCCAAGAAGCAGUCUCUGAACAUUUAUGAUUAAGCUUUACAGUGUUCCACAUGCUCUUUCUGGAAGACUUCAUUAAGUUCAUGCUGGUAGAAUCCAAACAGGAGAACUGAGUCCUUUCCUGCUUGCUCCUGAAGCCUAUGGAGGCUUCUUAUGCACUAGUAAAUGGUAUAUUUAUAAUAAUUAAGAAACGUUAAGUGUUUGAUUAUAAAAAUAUUGUGUAGAUGAACACAAUAUUCAUCCAUGAGAUAAACAUGUCAAGGUCAAUUUCAGGAAAAUGAAAAACAUAACUUCAUAUAUCUGCUUUGUAUUAAACAUCAUAAAUUUCCUGUCUCUACUUGUAUUUUUUAUUUCUUGUUAAAGCCUCAACAAACAAAUGGAAAACCACAAGAAUAAACAAAAACCCAAAACACCCAAAAAAACCCAAACCCAAAAUCACAACAGCAAAAACCAAAAUGCACCUUUGUUUCCAGGAGCACAGAGAUUAUGAUAACCAUACACAUAAGUGGAUGCGCUCUUGUUUUAGGCAAAUGAACCCAGAUGUCUGGAAAUGUUCCAUAGCUAUUACUUGAUUUGACCAUGUAUAUCUUAUAUAAGCAGGUAAGAGGAGGAGAGAAAGGCAAGUAAAAAUCAAUAUUAUAUGAAAGCUUUUCACACUGUGGAGAAAGUGUUUGCCCAUCAUAAACAGGGAAUUUUUUCCUUUCACAAAUUAGUUUCACUUUUAUUCCCAAUGCUACUGACUAUCCUGACACGCAGAAGACAUUUUCAGUCUAGAAGCCUGAGAUUCUUUUAAUCAAACAAUUAAGCAGUAUGUUUUGUUUCCCUUGCAACUCAGUGACUGGAAGAAAUUAUAAUCCUGGAAUAACAGUAUGAAACUACAACAGUGUAAAAUUCUAAUCAGUAUACAAUUAUGCAGUAAUGAGGAUAUCCAUCAGGUUGCGGCUCUGCCUUCCAAGAGAUUUAUAAACAUUCAUCACUACUGGAUGAUAUAACAGAGUAAGUCUAUGUUAGUCAAUGGGAGGAAUUGAGGGUUACAAUGUCAAAUAAAAACAGUCUGUAGGAGAAAAACUGUGGAAAUACUCCAGUGUCUGGUCUGGAAGAGUUCCAUGACAUCAUGACAAGAAAAGAUGAAAUUUUAAAAAAUUUUAGAACAGAUGCAGCUCAUACAAGACCUUUGAGUACAGUACCUAGUCUAAGCUCCAAAGAGAGGACGAAAAGGCAAGGCCUUACAUGUUUGAAGGCUCCAAGAUUCCUCCUACCAGCACCAGUGCUAUCAUUCCAUCCUAUGCACUGCUUGAACUACACAAGGUUACUUGGGCUGUUUAGAAAAGAUGGAAAAACGAGGCAUUGUGUCUUAUCUUUGUCAGUACAUUGAUAAAGGAUUAUAGACAAUCUUCCAUUGUUCCACAGAUCCCUGCUUUCUGUUACAAGACAGUGCCUGCUUGUGAAUGGAGAUUUUCUACGAAGUUCUGUCUAAGCUUUGACCAGGGCUGAAGAAGGGGCAGCUCCUCACAUCCAGCCUGAAGGGUGGAGUGGCAGGGCGGUUAGCCAGAGUUCAGUCCUCUGUCAAAGAGCUUACUAUGCUUUUAUUCUAUAUACAAAGGGACUUCAAUUAGCUGUAUGCUGUCUGAGACAAGAGAGCCUUUAUAAGCUUCAAAAUGGCCUACAAGUAAUGUUUCUGUUCCUUCACUAAUGUGUGGGACUCUCCCUCCCAUGGGAUAUACAACUGCUAUUGUGAUAUUCAAGAGAGCUGUAUAUGAAUUCUACCUGGAGCCCUGCUUUUAAAUGGGGUAUUUAUAAAACUAGCCAUAUUAUAGACUGCUAGCCAGUUUAUAGACCACUCAAGUUUGUCUCAAGAAACAAGGUAAGGUAUCUUUCAAAAGAUAAUUCAGAUUGAACUCUGUGGGUGCUGUAUUACUUUCAAGCUAUGUAAAGUAAGGAAAAGGGCGAUGAAACCAUGGCAGGAAAUGAUCCCUGAAGCAGCAGUGCUGACACAAAAUGACUGCAUGCACACAUACUGAGGGAGGUGAAACUUGCUCCUGUCUGAGAAAGAACAAGGCUCUGGAAAGAAAUCCUGCAGGCAGGACAUCUCCCAUAAAUGUACAGGGAGAAAGAAGAAUCACAGAGUAACAGAAUCAGCUAGGUUGGAAAGGACCUCUGAGAUCACUGAGUCCAACCUUUGACCUAACAACACCUUGCUUACUAGACCAUGGCACUAAGUGCCACAUCCAGUCUCUUCUUAAACACCUCCAGGUACAGUGACUCCACCACCUCCCUGGGCAGUCCAUUCCAAUGCCCAAUCACUCUUUCUGUAAAGAACUUCCUAACAUUUAACCUAAACCUCCCCUGGCACAGCUUAAGACUGUCCUGUUGCUGGUUGCCUGGGAAAAGAAACCAAUACCCGCCUCACUACAACUUCCUUUCAGGUAGUUGUAGAGGUCUUCCCUGAGCCUCCUCUUCUCCAGGCUAAACAACACCAGCUCCCUCAGCCUCUCCUCACAGGACUUGUACUCGAGUCCCUUCACCAGCCUCAUUGCCCUUCUUUAGACCUGCUCCAGCACCUCAAUAUCCUUCCUAAACUGAGGAGCCCAGAACUGGACACAGUACUUGAAGUGCGGCCUAACCAGCGCUGAGUACAGGGGAAGAGUCACUUCCCUGGACCUGCUGGCCACAUUGUUCCUGGUACAGGCCAGGAUGCCAUUGGCCUUCCCAAUUGGUCACCUGAGCACACUGCUGGCUCAUGUUCAGCUUCUUGUCAAUCCAAACUCCCAGGUCCUUUUCUGCCUGGCUGCUCUCCAGCCACUCUGUGCCCAGCCUGUAGCACUGCGUGGGGUUGUUGUGGCCAAAGUGCAAGACCUGGCACUUGGCCUUGCUGAACUUUCUACCAUUGGAUUCAGCCGAUUUAUCCAGCCUGUCCAGGUCCCUCUGAAGAGCCCUCCUACCCUCCAGCUGAUUGACCCUCCCCCCCAACUUAGUGUCAUCUGCAAAUUUGCUGAUGGUGGACUCAAUCCUCUCAUCUAAAUCAUCAGUAAAGAUAUUAAACAGGACUGGGCCCAACACUGAUCCCGGAGGGACACCCCUAGUGACCGGAUGCCAACUGGAUGCGGCACCAUUCACCACAACUCUCUGGACCUGACCGUCAGCCAGUUCUUAACCCAGCAGAGUGCCCCUGUCCAAGCUGUGGGCUGCCAGCUUUUUCAGGAGAUGGUGUCAAAGGCUUUGCUGAAGUCCAGGUAGACUAUACCCACAGCCUUCCCCUCACCCACCAGGCGGGUCACCUGGUCAUAAGAGGCGAUCAGGUUGGUCAGGCAGGAGCUGCCCCUCUUAAAUCCAUGCUGGCUGGAUCUGAUCCUCUGUCUGUCCUGUAGGUGCCGUGUGAUCGCACUCAAGAUGAUCUGCUCUACAACCUUGCCAGGCACCAAGGUCAGGCUGACAGUCCUGUAGUUUCCUUGGGUUAGGGCAUAGUUUAUGAAAGGGAGACAGAUACAUAACACCACUUAACUGAUUUUGCCUAGCAAAGUGUUUUCACCUGGAAAGAAAAUUAAGAUUUCUAGGGAUAACAGAGCACCAUUUCAUACAGGGUUUUAUAAGGCUUUAUUAAAGAUCGUGCUCUUCAAUAAAUAGUUUAAAAAUCAGAUGCAUUCAAGAUACGAGGUACAAAGUUUACAAGAAUAUCUUAAGAAAGAACACAUAAUUUUCUCAUUUUUGUACAUAUGAACUGGAUGUCAUUGCAAUUCUUGACUAUAGAAUAUAAAAACCCAUGUAUUGUUUUUUUAAAAUGUAUACUUUUGCGCUUUUCUAAACCCACAACAGAAUCCCUUGGUAAGUGCUAACUACACUGAAUGCUAUUCUCCACAAGGAAAUGAGGAAGAAAUACGACAGUAAUAUAUCCAGAUAAUUGGCAAAGAAAAGUACUAAAAACUGGGGCUUUUAAGAAUGCUUGCAAAAUGCACGCUGUUAGUGUCACCUUUAUUGCAUUAAAGCAGUUUUAACCACCAGAACAGCUAUUUCUGUUCCCUUCAGAUUCUUGGCCUCAUUCAACACACAAAACACAACACUCUUGGCUCUGAGCAUGAAUUAGGGAUUGGUAGCAGAAAUAAUAAGAAGUAGCCUUCUUCACUUCUUGCUAAAGUCAGAAGGCACCAAAGCAAGUAGAUACAAUAAAUACUUACAGUAGAUAUAGGGAAUAAAUAAGAAGAAUAGUGAAGUUAAAAGAGAGAAAAUUAAAAUAAUACUUAAAGUAGGUUUCUGAUUUGCCUCUGACAAUAGAAGUUUCUGUGCUCUGGUGGGAAAGUCACCCAAUCAACAAUCCUUUGAGAUGCUUGCUAACAGUGAAUUCCAUGUUUUCUAGCUGACCCACCUCAUACACCUUUAACCUUAGUGUCAAAGUACAUUAUGUUUCCAGAUAAAAGACAAGCCAUACGGAGAUGAGCACUUGCAGCAUUCAGUGCACUUUGAGCCUCAUGUUUAAAUGGGCAUUCUAAGGGAGAAUUGUCUCCUUUGGUCUAAGCUAGAGUAAUUGUUUUCACCGUUCCAUUAAGUGAGUAUCUAAAUCCAACACUUGAGAGAUGACACAUUUAGAAUAAAGGAGGAGAAUCAAAAUAGAGAAAUACACUGAAAGCCAAAAGUUUUUCCAGGGCAAGUCCUAACUCUUAGCAACAUUGAUGGAAACCAUUUAAUAAGAAGGUGUUCAGUAGAUUAACCUGUAAUGGAUUUGCUGAAGCUGUCCUCAGGAGGAUACCUACCACUAUUAUUUAAGAGUUAGGAGAGAAAAGGGAAAAGCCACAGCAACUGAACCAUAAAGAGAUGUCUUGAACUGGGUAGAUGAUUUUUUAUUACUAAAGAUAAUUUUAUUCUGUGUUGAUAUUAUUUGGUUUUGACAACUAUUAAAUGAGACAAAUUAAACAGGAGAGUUGGUUUGAAGGUUUUUUUUAAGUCAGAACUGCAACACUAUUAUUGCAUCAAAAUCCAUCAUCAAAUUUAAUGAAAACUCUACUACAAGAACCUGCCUGAGAAGACAGUCAUAGCCUAAGCAAUAAAACUAUAUCCAUACAUAAAUUUUCACUUUAAAAUCUUCUACUGCAUAAAAUUUAAAUGAAUGUCUGUGAUUUUUAUUCAGAUUUUAAACAAAUCAGUUGGCUUCCUUCUAUGUCCAGCACUUUCUGUGCAAACUCUGGAGAUACUUUUUUCUUUUAAAUCUUAGUGUUUUCAGAUAAUUUUGCACAAAAAAGGUUAUCGGUAGCAGCUUAGCUGCUAUUUAGUUAAGGCCUCAAAAAUAAUCCUUUAUUAAUAAAAUUCAUAGCUGGAUCACAUUAAAUCUUUAACCAUUGUGGUGGGGAAAAAAAGGGUGGUUUUCCCCUGGAGUUAAAAAAAAUGGUAACCCCCGAGGGGGUGGUGUCCCUUGGGGUUGAUCCAGUCAGCACCCCCGCAAAAUUUAAACAUAUAACACCAGACCGGAAAAGAAGGAUGAGGAGGUAGUUGGAGAAGAAGUGGCCAUGUUCUGAGACCACGAGGGGAGAAGGGGCAGGAGCCUCGCUGGGGGCCCACGGCCCCCCAGCCCCCUGGCUGGGGUUGUAGAAACUCAGAAACAGUGUUAAACUGGACCGGGUUCUGUGACUGAAAAGCUGUGAGUCUUCCUCCACUGUGAAUGGGCAGCAGGAGUGGCAGCAGAGACAGCACUGAGCAAAGAACUGUGGCAGAAAGCCAGAAAGAGAUAAGAAGCAGCAAAGGCGGCAUGCAGCCAAGCAGGAAGACACAGAGAUGUCUGAUAGAGAGAGAGAAGAGAAAGCUCAACAAAGACAGUUCUGGGGGUAAGAACUGAAUCAAAGCCCCCUAAAACCCCUUUGAGACCCCUCUUAAGAGGAGGGGGUAGACUCCUACUGGAAGUCCUAAAAUGCAACAUGCAGCAGAGAGAGAGGAGCUAAAAAGCUCAGACGUCCUGGAAGCUGGACUGGGACGGCCGGACAGAAUGCAGAGGAGGGCCUUGCCCCCCCCCCGCCACUGCUGCCAAGCUGGCAGUCUGAGACAGAGCAAAGGAGCUCUGAUAGAACGCUUGAGGAAAAGACUUUCAACUGAAAGCUGCCCUAGAUGUUCUGACUCAGGGGAGCUUGAAUCCCCUGAGGAAGGGACCUUCAUGGGGGUCUUACACCCCAUGAUAUGACGUGGUGAAGCAAGCCUGUCCCUGCAUCGCAGUCCAUGGGAGAGAGACCUUCGUUUGGAGUCAAAGGGCCGAGAGCGGUGAGAGGAGACCCCCCCUUGUGUGUAACGGAGAGAGAGAUCCAGCUACAACAAUCCAGCUACAGCUGCUGCAUUGAGGAGGAGAGACUGCUGCCCUAAAGGUGGAUAUUUCCUUCUUCCCUUCUGGACUUUUAUUGGAGGGAAAAGAGAUUUGAUCCAAUGUAAGUAUUACUUUAUCAUAGGAGAGAUAGUUAGGAUUAUGCAUAUAAUGUAUUAUAAUAUUUAUUUAUGUAGUGAUUGUAAUAUAAUUCCCUUCCCCCCAUAUUGAGUCUUGUGUUGUGUCUGGAAAACCCCUCUCACACUGGGUUGAGUUGUGGGAGGGGGGCUUGGACUCGGGAAUUGGAUUUUUGGGGGUUUCAAACCACGACAACCAUAUAAUCAUCUGCUAACAAGUACUUUUCCAGCUUGCACUUUUACAAACUGUAUUGUGGCAAAAAACCCCUCCAGAACAUUCAUUCCUUUGAUUAAGGAUCUCCUUCAUCUGAGCAGGCCAAGCUCUCUUGUCAGCUUCACUUGCCUGGAGAGGUGGCAAGAAGGAUAUCACCCCUCGUUCCUCAGAGGGAGAUGAAACCUACUUAAAAUCACAUGGAACUCAAGUCUCCUGACAGUACUAUUUCAACAUUAUCAAAUAUCAGCAGAGAAAUCAUGGAACACUGAAACCAUGCAAACAGAUCAAGAGAAGAGCAGGAUUUCCUCUUGUUGCUGUGAUGCAGCUGCCUAAUUGCUCCACACUGAUUUUGGACGCUGAACGUGAACAUGGGACUCCCUGUUGGCAAUUAAACACUGGACAGCAUUAAAUCUUUCUUGGAUAAUUCUUCAUUAUUUACUUCUUUUUGGUAAGAUUAAAAUAGAACUGCUAAAAUCUGUUUCUCUGA
This is a long non-coding RNA of Pseudopipra pipra, 8504 nucleotides long. RefSeq lists it as uncharacterized. The transcript is spliced from 2 exons. NCBI's taxonomy places the organism in Eukaryota, Metazoa, Chordata, Aves, Passeriformes, Pipridae. The record is from RefSeq and is a predicted model, not a curated record.